RNAcentral lists this ribosomal RNA (468 nucleotides) under uncultured bacterium. Its description in RNAcentral is "partial 16S ribosomal RNA". It matches the Rfam family "Bacterial small subunit ribosomal RNA", at positions 28 to 507 of the family's 1533-position model. The record is from RNAcentral.
GACGAACGCUGGCGGCGUGCUUAACACAUGCAAGUCGAACGGAAAGGCCCUGCUUUUGUGGGGUGCUCGAGUGGCGAACGGGUGAGUAACACGUGAGUAACCUGCCCUUGUCUUUGGGAUAACUUCAGGAAACGGGGGCUAAUACCGGAUAGGAGCUCCUGCUGCAUGGUGGGGGUUGGAAAGUUUCGGCGGGUGGGGAUGGACUCGCGGCUUAUCAGCUUGUUGGUGGGGUAGUGGCUUACCAAGGCUUUGACGGGUAGGCGGCAUGGGAGGGUGGCCGGCCACAUUGGGACUGCGGGACGGCCCAGACUCGUACAGGAGGCAGCAGUGGGGAAUAUUGCACAAUGGGCGGAAGCCUGAUGCAGCGACGCCGCGUGCGGAAUGACGGCCUUCGGGGUAUAAACCGCUUUCGCCUGUGACGAAGCGUGAGUGACGGUAAUGGGUAAAGAAGCACCGGCUAACUACGUG